GACCGCGUUCAUUUCAUCCCGGGCGUUCAUCAUGUUAUUGUGCAGAGUUACGUAUUUAACUCCAUGUUUUUGUGAAGUAUCAUACAGUUCCGAGCAUAUUCUAUUAUGUCAGAAGUGAAAGUGGCUUUUUGUUGUGUAAUUCGUGACGGCAAAUAUGAAGAAUUAUUAGCAAGCCGAGAAGAUUCCUUAUCCUGAGGGAGUUGCAUCUGACUUGGUCAGGUGACCGGAAAUACCAGGCUUGAAAAUUACAUUCGUUAUAGCCUAGGACCUAACUUGUUUUAGGCUAGAGGCUCUUGCACUGAUGUUACAGAAGAGCUGGAUUUGGAGAAAUGUUCCGAAAGCAUAGUCAAUGAAACUGGCCGGACAGGAGUCAAGAGCUUCAGCCCAACACCAAUCUUUCAAUCAUUGGUGUAGAUGAAAAAGGAGAGAUGUUCUUCACAUCAUAGUGAGUGAUGUGUCUGGUCUUGGCCUUCAUCUACAUGGAGGUAGUGAUAAUUAGAAAGAAGAGCCAGGAAUCUUUAUUGAUAAGAGUCAUGGAAGGAGUAAACUGCUGAAGGACUGGCUGAAGAGGAGUCAAAAUGGUCAGCUACCAUGUCCGUCCUAAGGCAGAGAAGCAGGAGAAGCUGGCGGAUGUUGCAGCCCAGAUGGCCUAGAACGUUGCAGAAGUACUCUCCCACAAUGCUGUCCUGGAGAGGAUUGAACUGGAAAGGCUUGCAGUUGUGAUCAGGUUUAACAGUCUGUACAUUGAGAUGGCAGUGUUAAAAGUCAAUCGACAUAAACUUAGAAGAUACUCUAUAGAAGAAAUCCCCAGAUGAAUGGGUACCAUGGUCUGCCUACCAUGCCAACAACCAGAAUGCAGUGAUUCCACCUGCCGCCAUUAAUUCACUCUUGCCUCUAUUUGUUGAUAGUGCACACUCGGUGGUGAUAAGACAUUCAAUGACCAUAGUCAAGGCUGCAAGUCAGCACCUCAACCCUGGACAAGUACCUAUACUUGGUGCUGAUCAGUGACUCCAAGCCCUUGGCAAGGAUUCCACCUGUCGCAAAUAAUGCACUCUUGCCUCUAUUUGUGGAUAGCGCACACUCAGUGGCGAUGGCCUCUAUUUGUGGAAAGCGGACCACAGUGUGAAUGAGAAAGAAGCACUUGCCCAGAACAUAGGACUGUCAGCUGCAAGAUUGAAGAGAGCUGGAAUUCAACAAAGAGAUUGCUGAUGUUGUUGGCAACAUGUUAGUUGCUGAUGUCCUUGUUGCAUACUAUCAUGCCCCCACCAGGUCAUACCAUGUGGGGCUUGACAACUCUUGGAUAGAAAAGUUAAGGAAUUGCAGAUAACAGUAACAGAUGACCUAACUCUUAUCAAGAUAUGGAUGUUUCCCCUAUCAAUCCAGCCUUC
Long non-coding RNA from Lytechinus variegatus (green sea urchin), 1388 nucleotides. RefSeq lists it as uncharacterized. The transcript is spliced from 5 exons. The record is from RefSeq and is a predicted model, not a curated record. Lineage: Eukaryota; Metazoa; Echinodermata; Echinoidea; Temnopleuroida; Toxopneustidae.